UCAAGACCAUAAUUCAAUGUGUUCUCAAGUCUGUAAGUGUUUGCAUCCCAUAUACAGAUAGUCCCAUCCUCAGAAGAUGUAAUUAUGAUGGGAAACUCUGGAUGGACACAGACUGCACAAACAUUGUUCGUUUGGCUUUCUAAUGUAUGGACACAAGUUUUGGCUUCGUAGUCCCAAACCUUGACAGUAUAGUCAUCAGAACCGCUUAGCAGAUAUGUUUUUUCACUGUUGAUGAAGUAAUCAACAGAAUUUACCCCUUUUGAGUGCCCUUCCAAUGUAGAAAUUGGAGCAGGGGAAUUCAGAUUCCAAAUCUUUAUAGUUCCAUCUAGUGAUGCACUUGCAAAUGUAUUACAAUCUUUUGGAUUAAAAACUGAUUGCAUCACAUAAUGAGAAUGUCCCUCAUAGGUCUGAGUGCACUCCCAGCCCUUCUCCCAAUCCCACAUCUUUAUUAGCAUAUCAUCAGAUGAUGACAGUACACAGGGAAGAGAAGGGUGGACAGACACACACCUAAUGUAAUCUUUGUGUGCCUCAAAUUCUUUGAUCAUUUCCAUUGUAUCUUGAUCAUAUACGCGAAUGAACUUGUCAUCUGAUCCAGUGACAAUCCAGUUCUUUCUUGCAAUGAAUUUUGCUGACCUCACUGGGGAUUCAGUGACCUUAAAAGACCUCUCCAGGGUCUGCGACUGGUAGUUCCAGAUACAGACAGUUCCUGAAUACAAACUUGCAAGAAUCCAUGGUUCAGUUGGAUGUAGAUC
This 752-nucleotide unclassified non-coding RNA is filed under the name Hevea brasiliensis (rubber tree). The record is from RNAcentral. Lineage: Eukaryota; Viridiplantae; Streptophyta; Magnoliopsida; Malpighiales; Euphorbiaceae.